GAAUGCGUGGUAUCAAAGCUCGUCCUAGUGGCGUGGCUCGAUAUAUGCUUCCUAACUUUGGGUAGUUAUGAAAGUGACUCCCAAUCAUUUACUUUGAAAAAAUUAGAGUGUUCAAAGCAGGCGUAACCUUGCCAUUGAAUAUUACAGCAUGGGAUAAUAGAAUAUGACGUUGGUCUUAUUUUGUUGGUUUCUAAGGCUGAUGUA
RNAcentral lists this ribosomal RNA (204 nucleotides) under uncultured fungus. RNAcentral describes it as "partial small subunit ribosomal RNA". The stretch from base 84 to 204 matches the Rfam family "Eukaryotic small subunit ribosomal RNA", at positions 747 to 864 of the family's 1831-position model. The record is from RNAcentral. Lineage: Eukaryota; Fungi.